Molecule: long non-coding RNA, 348 nt
Organism: Sinocyclocheilus grahami
Lineage: Eukaryota; Metazoa; Chordata; Actinopteri; Cypriniformes; Cyprinidae
Exons: 3
Source: RefSeq, a predicted model, not a curated record
UGCAAUGUGAACGCGCUCUUCUUCCUCAGUGCUACGGUCUGUGGGAUGAAGAUGAGCCCAGGUCAGGAGGUCAGACUGCGAGCUCUCAUUCAGACAGUGAAGAGAAAGACGCCUCACCCGUCUCCACACACAUCCGGCUGCCCAGAAAACCCCUCCGACAGAGCUCCAGCGUCUCGCAGCGCUCGGCCCGCUCUAAACCAGGCAGCAGCGGCUCCAGGACGAGUGUGCGUUCACUGAGCGCUCAACUGAAGAGCCGCAAGGAGCUCAUUUUGGACAAGCUCAGAGAACAGCUGAUCAAAGCAAAGCGCUUCACUGUCAAAACGAUUCUGGAUAUCUACAUUCCCAUUC